GACGGGACCGCACAAGCAGCGGAGCAUGUGGUUUAAUUCGAAGCAACGCGAAGAACCUUACCGAAGGCUUGACAUCCCUUGAAAGGUGCAGAGAUGCAUCCCUUUUCGGAGCAGGGGAGACAGGUGGUGCAUGGUUGUCGUCAGCUCGUGUCGUGAGAUGUUGGGUUAAGUCCCGCAACGAGCGCAACCCCUAUUAUUAGUUGCCAGCACUACGGGUGGGCACUCUAAUGAGACUGCCGGUGGCAAACCGGAGGAAGUGGGGAUGACGUCAAAUCAUCAUGCCCCUUAUGUCUUGGGCUACACACGUGCUACAAUGGUCGGUACAACGGGGUGCGAAGGAGCGAUCCGGAGCGAAUCCCAAGAAGCCGAUCUCAGUUCGGAUUGCAGGCUGCAACUCGCCUGCAUGAAGUUGGAGUUGCUAGUAAUCGCGAAUCAGAACGUCGCGGUGAAUACGUUCCCGGGCCUU
Molecule: ribosomal RNA, 466 nt
Filed under: uncultured Dethiosulfatibacter sp.
Lineage: Bacteria; Bacillati; Bacillota; Tissierellia
Description: bacterial SSU rRNA
Rfam family: Bacterial small subunit ribosomal RNA
Source: RNAcentral